Molecule: ribosomal RNA, 142 nt
Filed under: uncultured eukaryote
Lineage: Eukaryota
Description: partial 18S ribosomal RNA
Rfam family: Eukaryotic small subunit ribosomal RNA
Source: RNAcentral
UGGUGGAGUGAUUUGUCUGCUUAAUUACUAUAACGAACGAGACCUCAACCUGCUAAAUAGUUACGUGAACCUUUGCGUUCGUGGACAACUUCUUAGAGGGACUUUUGCGCGUUUUAACCAAAGGAAGUUUGAGGCAAUAACA